AAAAAACAGAGCGAUGUUAUAGAGUACAGAAACAGUACACAGAGACAAUUUUACGCUUAUUUAAUUUUAUUUUAAAUCUUUGGUGCUGGUUAUUUUUCAAUUUUUGGUUGGAACAUCGUAGUCAAGUAAAAAAGAAGCAUUUGAUUAAAUGUUGUCUUAUAUUACAGUAGCAAUGCAUAUAUAUAUAUAUAUAUAUAUAUAUAUAUAUAUAUAUAUAUAUAUAUAUAUAUAUAUAUAUAUAUAUAUAUAUAUAUAUAUAUAUCCGACAAUUUCUUGACGAAAUUGAUAUUUGUAUUAAUAUAUAUAAUUUAUCACAUGUGUAGUAGAGUGAAAUUUUAUAGGUUUUUAAUAUUUUAAUUUCAGAAUACUAGUAUUGAUUUCUUCAUUAUUAUUGACAUGUUCUAAUCAAUUUGUUACAGGAAUUUUACUAUUGCAGAAUUCGAUUUAUUUAAUUACAUAACAGAAAAUGAUUUAUCAGUGGUGAAUAAAUAAAUUAUUUAGUUGAAUUAACUUAAAUUGAUAUUUUGUGUUUGUUUUUAUUUACAUUGGUUACUCCUCUUUGGAGUGCACCUGUAGAUUCUAUUUAUAGCAUUUAUUUGAGUGGUCACUUAGAUCUGGUCAUGUGAUUUGUUUAUAGGGGUACUUAUAUUUGUUCAUUCUGACUCCUGAAUUUCAUGCUAAGAGGCUAGCCAUGCGGUUUUAAUUGCCAUAUUAGAAUUUUGAAGUUGUUCUAUAUUUUAUUCAUCUUUGAAGUAUUUUCCUGCACUUAGAAGGUUAGUUCUUUUAGUGUAUUACAGUGUAAUUGGGUUUACAAUUUUUUAAAUUAUUUAUUUAUCUAUUUCCACUUCUUUUCCCACUUUGAAUGAAUGUUGGAAUGUUUAAGAUAGAAUAAGAGGAGAGUGAAUGGCUAAUGUGAGUUUAUAUUUGUAUAAAUGCAGUCAGUAAUUAAAGUAAUAAUCUUCAAAUUAAGUUUAACAGGUGUAAAUAAUUAUGUUUUUUCUUAAUAAGUUUAAAAGCUAGGAGAAAGAGUGUGAGUGCGUUAUAAUUAUAAAUUUUACAGUUUUAAAAUGCUUAAAUAUAAAUAUCUAUACAUUUCAAAAUCAUAUUUCUAUCACAUUUAGUUUUGACAUACAUUUACACACGACCUACAUGUAACUGGUAGAAGUUUCCAUGACCUUCGCACCUCAUGGGAGGGUCGGGGAAUUUUAUUCUGUAAUUUGCCAUACACAAAUAAACCUACAAUUACCUAU
Molecule: long non-coding RNA, 1250 nt
Organism: Magallana angulata
Lineage: Eukaryota; Metazoa; Mollusca; Bivalvia; Ostreida; Ostreidae
Exons: 2
Source: RefSeq, a predicted model, not a curated record